Molecule: long non-coding RNA, 1142 nt
Organism: Scylla paramamosain (green mud crab)
Lineage: Eukaryota; Metazoa; Arthropoda; Malacostraca; Decapoda; Portunidae
Exons: 4
Source: RefSeq, a predicted model, not a curated record
UAUAAAAAAUGGGGGAAAAAAAUGUAGAAAAUAAAAAAAAAAAAAAAAAAAAAUUCAUAUCCGGAACGUACAACGACACCCUUGAUGCAAAACAUGUUUGCGCGCCUGACGAUGUUAAGACACACGACACACACUUCCCUUGAGAAAAGAUGAUAGCCUUCACGAGUGUCUUACUAUUUCUUUGCAGAGCCCCUCUUCUUGAUGACGACGCGUACACUGUCAGCUACACUUUGCAGUGUGUUACUUAAAUUUUUCUCUAUCUUUGUAUCUCUCCAUUUCAGAUAAAUUGUUAUCUUUCCAAGGGUUGAGAAGAACAUGGUCGUGGUUCAAGUGAAGCCACUACAGCCACUCCCUGACAAGCCUUCCACACCGACAGACAGUGACAGCAGACACACAAGAGACGAUGGUGUGGUGGACAAGAGGAUGCAGGGAGACAGCAGACAGAAUGGAAGCUACAGAUGAAAGAAGAGCAGGUCAAGCCAUGGCAGCAGACACAUAGACAGACAGAUUGGAUAAGAAAGAAGUAUUAUUUAGUGAGACAGGACCACUGGAAGCUGUCAGAGUGCUGUGGCACGUGGCAAGAACCAAGUGUUCAGGAGCACACACUGUCCCUUCACCAGUCAGCAGGUCUGGGCGGCUUGGAAGCCUCACUACAAACUGAAGACCCGUUCACUUGAAGGACACAGUUGGAGUUAUUUUUAAACGAGAGCUUCAGGCAGAAAAUUCGAGUGGAUUUUCAACUCUAAAAAUAACUUUUUUGGGGGGAUAUUUUGAACCUUCUUUAUCUUGAAAAAUAACUCCAGAUAUUAUGACUCUAGCUGGAAGUUGACCUGAGCAAUGUAGGGUUUGCUGCAGUGAGAUUACCAAGGCACGAGUGUCUGGGAUUUAAAGAUGAUGGAUAGGUGUCCUGUGUGCUGCUGUGCUGGGAGGAGAGGAGCAGCAGCAGUCGUGGGGCUCUCCCUCAACAUACUGUGUCUUCCCUCACCUGCAAUGAACAACUAUGAACAAUACUUCUCCUGCGAUGAGGAACAGUGAAUAACACCUCUCUCUCUCUCUCUCUCUCUCUCUCUCUCUCUCUCUCUCUCUCUCUCUCUCUCUCUCUCUCUCUCUCUCUCUCUCUCUCUCUCUCUCUCUCUCUCUCU